GGAGCCGUAGUUAAGUUGGUUAUAACGCCGGCCUGUCACGCCGGAGGCCGCCGGUUCGAGUCCGGUCGGCUCCGCCA
This 77-nucleotide transfer RNA is filed under the name Desulfohalobium retbaense DSM 5692. Its description in RNAcentral is "tRNA-Asp (GTC) (tRNA-Asp-GTC-1-1)". It matches the Rfam family "tRNA". Rfam says of the family: Transfer RNA (tRNA) molecules are approximately 80 nucleotides in length. Their secondary structure includes four short double-helical elements and three loops (D, anti-codon, and T loops). Further hydrogen bonds mediate the characteristic L-shaped molecular structure. tRNAs have two regions of fundamental functional importance: the anti-codon, which is responsible for specific mRNA codon recognition, and the 3' end, to which the tRNAs corresponding amino acid is attached (by aminoacyl-tRNA synthetases). tRNAs cope with the degeneracy of the genetic code in two manners: having more than one tRNA (with a specific anti-codon) for a particular amino acid; and 'wobble' base-pairing, i.e. permitting non-standard base-pairing at the 3rd anti-codon position. Lineage: Bacteria; Pseudomonadati; Thermodesulfobacteriota; Desulfovibrionia; Desulfovibrionales; Desulfohalobiaceae. The record is from RNAcentral. RNAcentral also lists the same sequence under 2 other names.